UAUUGAUGGUCCAAGACCAUACAUAUUGAUAGAUAGAACGACCAUUUAUUUGCUGAAUAGACAGAUCGAUCGAAAAAAAUCAUAAUUAUACUUAAAUAA
Long non-coding RNA from Telopea speciosissima, 99 nucleotides. RefSeq lists it as uncharacterized. The record is from RefSeq and is a predicted model, not a curated record. Lineage: Eukaryota; Viridiplantae; Streptophyta; Magnoliopsida; Proteales; Proteaceae. The transcript has 3 exons.